UAUCUUUUGAACACUGCUGGAUGGAGAUUUAUUAUUCCUCAAUUGUACAGGAAAUAUCCGAAUGAUGACAUGAAUUUAAAUCUGUCUUUAUCUUCUCCUCCAAUCGUAAAGAUUUUAGAAAAUGAUAUUGAUGCAACUGUUUAUGCGGAAUUAAUAAUUGAUGUUUUGGAAGCAGACCUUGUAAUACCAGUUGCAUGCAUUUCACUGGAUAUUUAUGGCUCAGGUUCAGUUAAGAUCUCAGGGAAUACACUUGGGGGCAGCUUGAAAUUAAAGGACUUUUCAAUGUCAUUGAAAUGGAGCCAUAUUGGUAAUCUUCGGUUGUAUCUUAUUCAGCCAGUGAUAUGGACUCUUAUCCAAACUGUUUUCUUGCCAUAUGCAAAUGUACACCUCGCACAAGGUUUCCCAUUGCCAAUUGUUCAUGGUUUCACCCUAAAGAAUGCUGAAAUAAUUUGUUCAAGAUCAAAAAUUACAGUUUGCAGUGAUGUGGAAUUCACGGAGUCUCAGGGUCUGAAUCAGAUUAUGUUCAACUAAUAUGUUACCGUCUGAAGUCUGAUAGGGAUGCACACCAAGAUCCAGAAAGCACAGGCAGAUGUCCGAGUCUCUUGUUGAUUCAUAUGUGUAAGGCACAGACAGCUAAACCCAUUCCCCACGCGAAUGUACAAAUUGUGAAAUGCCAUACC
RNAcentral lists this unclassified non-coding RNA (680 nucleotides) under Hevea brasiliensis (rubber tree). Lineage: Eukaryota; Viridiplantae; Streptophyta; Magnoliopsida; Malpighiales; Euphorbiaceae. The record is from RNAcentral.